UCAUGACCCUCUCCGCCAUUUAAAGAAACAGUACCGGGGGCGGGUCGAGCGACGCAGCCGGGACGGUAGCUGCGGCGCGGACCGGAGGAGCCAUCUUGUCUCGUCGCCGGGGAGUCAGGCCCCUAACUUGAAGAAGCCCUGGCGCGCCCUCCCCCCCUCCCCGGUCUGAAAAAGACACUGAUCUACACUGCCAGUCAUUCCCUUUAAUCCUGUCAGACGCAGUCAAAAUGAGGGGCUUAAGGUGAGGAUGAUCAUCUGUUCAAGAGUCUAAUGUAUGCUGUGUAUCAGAAUUGAUGGUUGAAAAUGAAGAAAGCCUAAAACUCAAACCUAGGAUCUUAACUGCUCUCUCCCUGCCACAGAUCUCAAUCUAAGUCUUUUGGCAGCAACAGCCAACCAAUCUAAGGCCUUGUUUCUAAGCUGAUUCUCAAGAGAUGGGCAGAGUUUCAGAAGAUGGAGACUUGAUAACCAAAGAGAGUAGGGCCAACCUUCAUGAACCUGGCCCUCCCAACCUUGUCAUUCCCAGAUGUAGCAUAGACUCCUCAACAGAACCUCAAGUCUGAAUUGAGAAUAUAGCCUUCUACUGAGCUGAAAGUUUUUGGGCAGAUAAACAGAAAAAUGAAAGCUGCUAUACCUGGCUGGCCCUUUAAGGUCAGAAAAUGGUAUCCAGAGGAAAUCUUAAGGAAUGACCCUGGAGUGCUCAGGAUAAAAACUAAUUUACAGAGCUUCAACAUCAAUCUACCCAUUUUGACAGAUCACAUCCUGGCUGUUGGUGUGGCUAGCCCUGAUGAAGGUACCCUAUUUGCCUGUUUAGACUCAGCCCUUGUAUGCCUUUUUUGACAUGUUGCAAUCAGACUGGCUGUGCCUGAGAAAACUACCAACUGGUACCAGUCUGUCCUACACUCAGUUCCACCCAAGGAGUUUUGAAUAGAAGCAGCUUGCAUCUUACCACUGCCCCCCAACCCCAGGACUUAAUGUUCACAACUGGAAGGACCAUGCUGUAUACUACGUGACCAGCAGCCUUUUUUUUUUUUUUUAAGUGCAGAGUAAGCCUCUACACCUGUGUAUAUGUCACCAUUUUCAGCACUUGAGACCCCUUCUACCAGAUCUGAAAGACUACAGCAGAUUGAAAGCACUGUCCAUUUCUCUCUUCUGCAAUAAUACAGAGGUGACAGAAAUGUUACCAGUUCACCUUGGCAAAGGACUAAAGGAACACAAAAAGAGGUUUCCACUGAAGUUAAAACUUACCACUGACUUCAGUAGCCUCACAGAACUAUUUGCCAGUGGGAGGCUUGUCCAGCAUCAUGUCAGCAAGAUGGUUGAGCUCUCAGAUUCAAGGCCACUGAGUUUACUUCUGUUGAAACACUAUUGCAUCAUCCAAAGUAUGCUAUUGGACACAAUUAUUAUAUUCAAAUGGAUUACAAGCUUCCUGGGUACAGGACAAAUUUAACUCCUCAUGAUGUUUUCAGAAUACUUUUAUUAUCAAGAAAGUAACAAAUGCCAGCUCUUAGUGAACAGAGACUAAACUUUUUCAGUAUCUGGUCAUAUUGACAUCAGUUGUUUUUGAUUGACCAGCAUCCAUUCCAUCUCUUUGUAACAACUGUGAUGUUCCUUGGAACCACUUUUCCGUAUCUUCAGUCCACAUGAUUCAGACAGUCUGGCCUAACUUUAAGCUUCAUGGGUGGACAUGUAAUUCAGACCUGAUGAAUCAGCAUUGUCCAUCUUUUUCACCAUAAAGAUUUCAUUCUGGAAUGGUCAUGUGAUCCAAGUUGGUCCAGUGAUACUCAGCCCUAGGACUUUCACUGAACUGUGGAGGAGAAGCUCAGAAGCUCUCUUUACUGAGGUUGCUUGGCUUUGCAGUAUGAAAAACUCAAACCAACAGGGCCCACCAUAUUGAAUGAGCCAGAGAAUGAAGCCAGUGCAGAGCCAAAUGAUGGAGAGACUUGAGUCCUGAUGACAAUGUUUGUGCCCCUGGAUCCAACCGUGCCUGAAGCUAGUAUAUCCCUAUGGACUUUUCAGUUAUGUGAGCCAAUAAAUACCCUUUUUUGCUUUAAGUUA
Lontra canadensis (Northern American river otter) is the source of this 2055-nucleotide long non-coding RNA. RefSeq lists it as uncharacterized. The transcript has 2 exons. The record is from RefSeq and is a predicted model, not a curated record. NCBI's taxonomy places the organism in Eukaryota, Metazoa, Chordata, Mammalia, Carnivora, Mustelidae.